UAUGGACCCACCUGAUCCCAUGCCGAACUCAGUAGUGAAACGUAAUAGCGCCGAUGGUAGUGUGGGGUCUCCCCAUGUGAGAGUAGGACAUCGCCAGGC
Molecule: ribosomal RNA, 99 nt
Filed under: Photobacterium angustum
Lineage: Bacteria; Pseudomonadati; Pseudomonadota; Gammaproteobacteria; Vibrionales; Vibrionaceae
Source: RNAcentral